This 253-nucleotide ribosomal RNA is filed under the name uncultured bacterium. RNAcentral describes it as "partial 16S ribosomal RNA". It matches the Rfam family "Bacterial small subunit ribosomal RNA", at positions 524 to 776 of the family's 1533-position model. The record is from RNAcentral.
CACGUAGGGCGCAAGCGUUGUCCGGAAUUAUUGGGCGUAAAGAGCUCGUAGGUGGUUUGCUGCGUCCGCUGUGAAAACCCAAGGCUUAACCUUGGGCUUGCAGUGGAUACGGGCAGACUGGAGUUCGGCAGGGGAGACUGGAAUUCCUGGUGUAGCGGUGAAAUGCGCAGAUAUCAGGAGGAACACCGGUGGCGAAGGCGGGUCUCUGGGCCGAUACUGACGCUGAGGAGCGAAAGCGUGGGGAGCGAACAGG